RNAcentral lists this ribosomal RNA (2232 nucleotides) under human gut metagenome. RNAcentral's name for it is "bacterial LSU rRNA". It matches the Rfam family "Bacterial large subunit ribosomal RNA", at positions 1 to 2299 of the family's 2925-position model. The record is from RNAcentral.
UUAAGAAAGCAAGAGCGCACGGUGGAUGCCUAGGCACUAAUAGGCGAAGAAGGACGCGACUAACAGCGAAAUGCUACGGGGAGCAGUAAGUAGGCAAAGAUCCGUAGGUAUCCGAAUGGGGAAACCCACUAGUUAGAAGAGCUAGUAUCGUAUAAUGAAUACAUAGUUAUACGAGGCGAACCCGGGGAACUGAAACAUCUAAGUACCCGGAGGAAAAGAAAACAAAAGUAAUUCCCUAAGUAGAGGCGAUUGAAAGGGGAGGAGCCCAGCACCAAGAAGAGUUAGAAAAUCUUUUUAUAGUAGAAUUGUAUUGGAAAAGCAAGACAAAGAAGGUGAAAUCCCUGUAUACGAAAUAAAGAGAUCUCGGUGUCGGAGUAGGGCGGAGCACGAGGAAUUCUGUCUGAAGAAGUGAGGACCAUCUCAUAAGGCUAAAUACUCAUUAGUGACCGAUAGUGAACCAGUACUGUGAAGGAAAGGUGAAAAGAACCCCUGGCGGGGAGUGAAAAGAACCUGAAACCGUGUGCUUACAAACAGUUAGAGCCCGUCAAAGGGUGAUAGCGUGCCUUUUGUAGAAUGAGCCGGCGAGUUACGUUAAUGUGCGAGGUUAAGUUUUAAGGGACGGAGCCGAAGCGAAAGCGAGUCUGAAGAGGGCGGAAUAGUAGAUUGACGUAUACCCGAAACCGGGUGAUCUAGCCAUGAGCAGGUUGAAGCUUGGGUAAAACCAGGUGGAGGACCGAACCAGGGUCUGUUGAAAAAGACUUGGAUGACUUGUGGCUAGGGGUGAAAUUCCAAUCGAACCCGGAGAUAGCUGGUUCUCCCCGAAAUAGCUUUAGGGCUAGCGUUAUGGAGAAGAGUUAUACGAAGGUAGAGCACUGAAUGGGUGAGGGCCUCAUCUCGAGGUACUGAUCUCAAUCAAACUCCGAAUGUCGUAUAAUAUACAUAGCAGUAAGACUAUGGGUGAUAAGGUUCAUAGUCAAAAGGGAAACAGCCCAGACCGCCAGUUAAGGUCCCAAAAUUAUGCUAAGUGGGAAAGGAGGUGGAGUCGCAUAGACAACUAGGAGGUUGGCUUAGAAGCAGCCAUCCUUUAAAGAGUGCGUAAUAGCUCACUAGUCGAGUGAUUCUGCGCCGAAAAUGUAUCGGGGCUAAGCAUAAUACCGAAGCUGCGGAAUUAGGAAAGAAAGCCUAAUUGGUAGGGGAGCGUACUAAACACGAAGAAGGUUGACCGGGAGGGCAGCUGGAGAGUUUAGCAGUGAGAAUGCCGGUGUGAGUAGCGAUAAGAUGGGUGAGAAUCCCAUCCGUCGGAAGCCUAAGGGUUCCAGGGGUAAGGCUCGUCCGCCCUGGGUAAGUCGGGACCUAAGGUGAGGCCGAAAGGCGUAGCUGAUGGAUAUCAGGUUGAUAAUCCUGGACCACCAUAGAGCUGAAGGAGUGACGGAGGAGGGAAGUUAGGAUGGACUGGUGGAAUAGUCUAAUGAAGCACAAAGAGGGAUACGUAGGAAAAACCGCGUAUUAGAACCUUGAAGUGUAAACCGCAAGGCCUAAUGGACCACACUUCCAAGAAAAGCUUCUAGGAAUACUUUAUGGUGCCCGUACCGUAAACGGACACACGUAGGCGAGGAGAGAAUCCAAAGACGCGCGAGAUAAUUCUUGUUAAGGAACUCUGCAAAAUGACCCUGUAACUUCGGGAUAAAGGGGACUCUAGAGAUAGAGGCGCAGAAAAUAGGCCCAAGCGACUGUUUAACAAAAACAUAGGUUUCUGCUAAAGCGAAAGCUGAUGUAUAGGAGCUGACGCCUGCCCAGUGCUGGAAGGUUAAGAGGAGAUGUAAGUCGCAAGGCAAAGCAUUGAAUUGAAGCCCCAGUAAACGGCGGCCGUAACUAUAACGGUCCUAAGGUAGCGAAAUUCCUUGUCAGGUAAGUUCUGACCCGCACGAAAGGCGUAACGAUUUGGGCGCUGUCUCAACAAGAAACUCGGUGAAAUCAUAGUACCUGUGAAGAUGCAGGUUACCCGCGAUCAGACGGAGAGACCCCAUGGAGCUUCACUGCAGCUUAAUAUUGAUAUUGGGUGUGUGAUGUACAGGAUAGGUGGGAGACGAGGAAGCGAGUACGCUAGUAUUCGUGGAGUCAACGUUGGGAUACCACCCUUCAUACAUUUAGUAUCUAACUAGUAUCCAUGAGCUGGGUAUAGAACAGUGUUAGGUGGGCAGUUUGACUGGGGCGGUCGCCUCCCAAAGAGUA